This is a small nucleolar RNA of Phocoena sinus (vaquita), 215 nucleotides long. Ensembl annotates it as small nucleolar RNA U3. Lineage: Eukaryota; Metazoa; Chordata; Mammalia; Artiodactyla; Phocoenidae. The record is from Ensembl.
AAGACUAUACUUUCAGGGAUCAUUUCUAUAGUUCGUUACUAGAGAAGUUUCUCUGACGUGUAGAGCACCCGAACCCACGAGGAAGAGAUAGAGCGUUCUCUCCUGAGCGUGAAGUUGGCUCUUGGUGUUGUGUUUGCAGCUGCCUUUAGCCGUUGAUGAUCGUUCUUCUCUUCAUUUUGAAGAGUAAGAGGGAGAUGGACGCAGUCUGAGUGGUU